RNAcentral lists this ribosomal RNA (420 nucleotides) under uncultured bacterium. RNAcentral describes it as "bacterial SSU rRNA". It matches the Rfam family "Bacterial small subunit ribosomal RNA", at positions 356 to 773 of the family's 1533-position model. The record is from RNAcentral.
AAGGAAUAUUGGGCAAUGGACGCAAGUCUGACCCAGCCAUGCCGCGUGAAGGAAGACGGCCCUAUGGGUUGUAAACUUCUUUUCUCAGGGGGUAAACUUCGGAACGUGUUCCGGACUGAAAGUACCUGAGGAAUAAGCAUCGGCUAACUCCGUGCCAGCAGCCGCGGUAAUACGGAGGAUGCGAGCGUUAUCCGGAUUCAUUGGGUUUAAAGGGUGCGCAGGCGGAUAUAUAAGUCGGAGGUGAAAUUCUGAUGCUCAACAUCAGCCGUGCCUUCGAUACUGUAUAUCUAGAGUCAAGUUGGAGUAGGCGGAAUGUGUUGUGUAGCGGUGAAAUGCUUAGAUAUAACACAGAACACCGAUCGCGAAGGCAGCUUACUAAACUUUGACUGACGCUCAUGCACGAAAGCGUGGGGAUCAAAC